RNAcentral lists this ribosomal RNA (497 nucleotides) under uncultured bacterium. Its description in RNAcentral is "partial 16S ribosomal RNA". It matches the Rfam family "Bacterial small subunit ribosomal RNA", at positions 28 to 507 of the family's 1533-position model. The record is from RNAcentral.
GAUGAACGCUGGCGGCGUGCCUAAUACAUGCAAGUCGAGCGAACAGAUGAGGAGCUUGCUCCUCUGACGUUAGCGGCGGACGGGUGAGUAACACGUGGAUAACCUACCUAUAAGACUGGGAUAACUUCGGGAAACCGGAGCUAAUACCGGAUAAUAUAUUGAACCGCAUGGUUCAAUAGUUAAAGACGGUUUUGCUGUCACUUAUAGAUGGAUCCGCGCCGCAUUAGCUAGUUGGUAAGGUAACGGCUUACCAAGGCGACGAUGCGUAGCCGACCUGAGAGGGUGAUCGGCCACACUGGAACUGAGACACGGUCCAGACUCCUACGGGAGGCAGCAGUAGGGAAUCUUCCGCAAUGGGCGAAAGCUUGACGGAGCAACGCCGCGUGAGUGAUGAAGGUCUUCGGAUCGUAAAACUCUGUUAUUAGGGAAGAACAAAUGUGUAAGUAACUAUGCACGUCUUGACGGUACCUAAUCAGAAAGCCACGGCUAACUACGUG